This 206-nucleotide ribosomal RNA is filed under the name uncultured eukaryote. RNAcentral's name for it is "partial 18S ribosomal RNA". It matches the Rfam family "Eukaryotic small subunit ribosomal RNA", at positions 1299 to 1458 of the family's 1831-position model. The record is from RNAcentral.
UGGUGGAGUGAUUUGUCUGGUUAAUUCCGUUAACGAACGAGACCUUAACCUGCUAAAUAGUCGACGGUUAGGCUUCUACCAAAACACGGUAGGGUCUAGGGUGAAGUUUCGACGGAGCCUGACGCCUUAUCGUGUGGAUGCCUAGCCGGCUCGCUUCUUAGAGGGACUAUCUGUAUUAAAGCAGAUGGAAGUUUGAGGCAAUAACA